This 253-nucleotide ribosomal RNA is filed under the name uncultured bacterium. RNAcentral's name for it is "partial 16S ribosomal RNA". It matches the Rfam family "Bacterial small subunit ribosomal RNA", at positions 524 to 776 of the family's 1533-position model. The record is from RNAcentral.
UACGGAGGGGGCGAGCGUUAUUCGGAAUUAUUGGGCGUAAAGAGCUCGUAGGCGGUUUGUUGCGUCGGCUGUGAAAUCCCGAGGCUCAACCUCGGGUCUGCAGUCGAUACGAGCAAACUAGAGUGUUGCAGGGGAGACUGGAAUUCCCGGUGUAGCGGUGAAAUGCGUAGAGGUCGGGAGGAACACCGGCGGCGAAGGCGGCUGCCUGGACCAGUCCUGACGCUGAGGCGCGAAAGCUAGGGGAGCAAACAGG